This 1276-nucleotide unclassified non-coding RNA is filed under the name Hevea brasiliensis (rubber tree). The record is from RNAcentral. Lineage: Eukaryota; Viridiplantae; Streptophyta; Magnoliopsida; Malpighiales; Euphorbiaceae.
AAAGCUACAUGCACAUUUCCAUAAUAUAAUGAGCAUAUUUCCAUAUAAUGAAUUGAAAGAGGUAUAUGCUCAUCAUAUGCUGGCUUUGGCUACUAGCCCAUUAACUUGGUGAAGCAUACACAGCCACAUGGUGCUACAGGUGAUUGGAAGGAGCAUCUAAUGGGCAUGAGAGAACUAGCAAAGCAGCAGAAGAAAGGGUCCACUACAUGAAAUCUUAUCUAGAGCCAACCAAUGGAUUCUCUCUCUCCUUUCCAUGUACAGCUCAAAACACUAUCCAUUUGUAAUUUGCAUUCCACUUCACAAAUGAUUGCUUAAUAAAAAUGUCAUCCCAUGUUUCUAAAUUUAAACAAAAUCCCAAGUGAAGUAACAGUCAUGGCCCAUUCCCUAAUCACAACACCAGCCACAGUAAGCUCCUCUUUCUUAACCAAAUCUAAGAAGAAGACAACUACCCACGUUCCAUCUCUAGGGCUUCAAAGAGUAUUGGCUUGCCAUAAAGACUCUAAGCCAAUCUCUGCUGGCAAUCCCAUUCAUCGCAGGACUGUAAGCCUUGGUUUGGCAGGUGGAUUGCUGGGCUUGAACAUUGGCGGCUGGAGUGCUAAUGCAGCUCGAAGGCCGCCACCUCCACCACCGGAGGAGAAAAAGGACCCUAAUUUAAGUGGUGUGCAAGCAAAAGUCCUAGCUAGCAAGAAGAGGAAGGAAGCCAUGAAAGAGUUUGCGGCCAAACAAAGAGAGAAAGGAAAGCCCAUAAACGAACCAUCUGAACAGCAAUAAAGAAAUUGUACUUGUUAUGUCCAGCCUUAACAUUCAAAAAUUUUCUUGAGUGGAAAGGAAAUUGCUGUACUUCAAUAAAGAGUAAAUGAGAGAGAUUUCAUCAAUAUGCAAUUUUUCUGUUUUAAAUUUUCCAGAAUAAGAAACAAGGAUAAUAAAUUCAACCAACAUUUUUUUUCAUUUGGAAUUGAGUGGGGCUCAAACUCAAGAGACAUCAUUGUCUUAAAAAUGAUUCAACUACCUGGAGGAAAAGCUCAUUGGCAUUUCAACAAACAAAUUUAGCAAACCAAGUUGAGUUGCGCCCGAUUGAAGGAUCAGUUGAGCUCUGCAAAACACUGUAUGUUGCAGGAAUUCAAAGUAGUACUUCUGUAACAUAUUUAGGGGCUUCAGUUUUACCUGAGAAGCAUUAUGUUCUGUUCCUGUUGAGCAGGAUAUACAUGUCCUUUUCAACAAUAUCAACCUCAUUUUAGAGACUCAGACCUUCAAGAAACUAUACUGAAAUGAGAGC